This 75-nucleotide transfer RNA is filed under the name Pandoraea sputorum. RNAcentral's name for it is "tRNA-Ser". The record is from RNAcentral. Lineage: Bacteria; Pseudomonadati; Pseudomonadota; Betaproteobacteria; Burkholderiales; Burkholderiaceae.
UGACGCUAGCGUGGUUCGGCGCGGUGCCUUUGCUAGGGCCACUGGCGAACGCCGUUGCCAUUCCGGUGAUGACAU